UUAAACUUUACAGAGAUUAGAAGAGUCAACCAAGGCCUGUGUAGUACUGACCCUCCCACGACGGUACCCAAUCACUUUGAACCUGAAAUCUAUAGUCAUGAGGGCAAGGGAGCAUACCGGUUCCAGUGCCCCAGUGCAGGUCUGUUCCAGUGCAGUAUAACAGGCCUGGUGUUUAGGAUGGAGGGAGAGGAGAGGUGCUCUAUAGGACAG
This is a non-coding RNA of Salvelinus sp. IW2-2015, 210 nucleotides long. The record is from RefSeq and is a predicted model, not a curated record. NCBI's taxonomy places the organism in Eukaryota, Metazoa, Chordata, Actinopteri, Salmoniformes, Salmonidae.